CCCAUCACAAAAGAAAAUCAGACUUCUGGUCAAGAUGGAGGCAUAAGUAAACAUGCUUUGCCUCCAUGCACAACUAAAGCAAAAAUUAUGACUAGACUACAAACAAAUAUCACCCAGAUUCAUCAAAAAAUCAAGCUGUAUGGAAGUCUGACAACCAAGGAUUUAAAGAAGCUAC
Long non-coding RNA from Phyllostomus discolor (pale spear-nosed bat), 175 nucleotides. RefSeq lists it as uncharacterized. The transcript has 3 exons. NCBI's taxonomy places the organism in Eukaryota, Metazoa, Chordata, Mammalia, Chiroptera, Phyllostomidae. The record is from RefSeq and is a predicted model, not a curated record.